UUCGGGAAUUCCGAGACAGGUGCUGCAUGGCUGUCGUCAGCUCGUGCCGUGAGGUGUGGGUUAAGUCCCGCAACGAGCGCAACCCUAUUGCCAGUUGCUACCAGGUAAUGCUGGGCACUCUGGUGAGACUGCCCCGGUUAACCGGGGAGGAAGGUGGGGACGACGUCAAGUCAUCAUGGCCCUUACGCCUAGGGCUACACACGUACUACAAUGGCGCAUACAAAGGGCAGCGAUACCGCGAGGUGGAGCCAAUCCCAAAAAGUGCGUCCCAGUCCGGAUUGCAGUCUGCAACUCGACUGCAUGAAGUUGGAAUCGCUAGUAAUUCGAGAUCAGCAUGCUCGGGUGAAUGCGUUCCCGGGCCUU
This 363-nucleotide ribosomal RNA is filed under the name uncultured Desulfovibrio sp. Its description in RNAcentral is "bacterial SSU rRNA". It matches the Rfam family "Bacterial small subunit ribosomal RNA", at positions 1019 to 1382 of the family's 1533-position model. The record is from RNAcentral. Lineage: Bacteria; Pseudomonadati; Thermodesulfobacteriota; Desulfovibrionia; Desulfovibrionales; Desulfovibrionaceae.